CUACGUCCAUUCUCCUCAAUCUCCUAACCGAGUGAGGGUUCCACUAACUUGAAGCUUCAAUCAAGCUUUCAAUCUUCUUACACUUGGAUUCCGACUCCAAUGGGCUCUUACACAAUCUCUUCAAGAUUUGAACCACUUGAAGGCUUUCACACUCAGUUUACACAAAGAUGAAACUCUCAACCUAGUUUAAGGAUGGCUCAAGUACAAGAGAAAGUUAGGAUGAUUUACAAGAGUGCACUAAGAAUAUGCAAGUGAUGGUUUUAUGCACUAAGAAAGAAAUGAGAGCUUUUUUAUCAAGAACAGGUAGGUAGACAAUUGAUUGUGAAGGUUCUCUUAGUCAUAAAUGAAGUGGAGCUCUCAAUUUAUAGGUUUCUAAGCUCAGGAGUCAAAAACAGCAAAAGGAAACCUCGUCCGGUCGAGCUAGGGGUCGACCGGUUCACUAGUCGUUGGAGCAUUUAAUGCAUGACAGGUUACUGUUGCCUCAACCGGACCUUGACCGGUCCUCGACUGGACAUCGACCGAUAAAGGAAUCACCUCGACCGGGAAGAGAAGGCUACUAGGAGAGAGAGAAGGUUUUUAACCUUCCUCGACCGGACGACCUCAGCUAGUCGACCGGUUCAUCAACCGGUUGACCGGUUGGCCUUAGCCUCGACCGGUUGAGCCUUUUUGGCCCCAAAAAACCUAUUAUUUGAUUACUUUCUUUUCUGACACUUAGGCAAGGUCUUUAGGUGAGUUAAUAUGUCAAUUUUGAAUCAAUUUGCCUAAGGUAUAUUUGAUAAAACUCGGGUUUUAAAGAAAAUCAAGUUUUAAAGAAUAAGCCGAGUUUUCUAAGAUGCAUGAAAAGGUAUGAACAUCCUAAGUGCACUCAUGCUAUCAUCUUACAUUCAUUUCCUAUGAUCUCAAGUCCUCCAAGCGUCUCGAUCUUGUAUCCAUUUGGUCAUUUGAUGAAUUUUCGAGUUUAUACCUGAGAUUCUUAAACAUUAAACCAAUUAGUUACUUAACCAUGGUUUGUUAUCAUCAAAACCCGAUUAGGAGAACCCCUGGGCUAACAAUCUCCACCUUUUUGAUGAUGACAAACCCUGGUUAUCUAGGAGACAGAGAAAUCUCCCCCUCAAACCAACCAUGGGAUAAUCAACACAAAAUUUAGGAAAUUUAAGGCAAGAAGACAAUGUAAAUCAAUAAGAGUGUCAUAUCAUAUAUAAGCAAGAGCAAGAAUACAUGAAAGCAUAAGUAUGAUAUGCAUGAAAAUGAAAAAGUCUCCUAAGGUCCGUAUCCUAACAUAUCUCCCCCUUUGGCAACAUAAAAAAGAAACAAAGGGGGAUCCUAAACAAACUCAAGGCUGAGGAGGUGGUGGUGGAAACACAGAACGGAGGUAAGCCAUCAUCUCCUCGUGCUGACUCUCCUGGCAGCUCUUAAAACGCUCAAUCCUCUGUAUGAGAUGCUCAAACUGAGAAGUGAAGCCGACCUGAUACUGAUCGAUGCGAUCCUCCAUGGAAUAAAAACGAGUAUCAUGGACUACGACUAACUCCUCCAUACGAGUCUCGAGAGAGCUGAUUUGUGCCGACAAAUCCAUCCAAGGUGGAUGAUCAGGAGCAUGAGGAGCCUGAGAUGGUAGCUCGGUGAAUGAUGGCUGAGAUGAAGGGCCUGCUGUGAAGGACGACUCAAUCAUCAUAGGCUCGGAGAAGGUAGCCUCAACAUGAAUGCCCUCUAACUGAUGUGGAGGUGGAAUGUCAAGCUCGGGCCCUCUCUGCUCAAAGUCCCUCUGAGGGUCCAACCCAUCCUCCAUCUCUCUGAUCUCGACCUCCUCCUCUACUCCGGGGUGUAUCUGAUCAUGUCCCCGGGCCUGUCGCUCGGCUUUCCUAACCCAAGAGUCAUCGGGUACCUUCUCGAACUUCAUGCGCCCCAAAGACUUCUCAUCAUUUGUGUCAUAGGUGGUGGGGGCCUCAAAAUCUCUCUCUACUCAAGUUGACCCCGGCAUUCUUGAAAGCACGGGUAAGGAAGCGGUCGUAGGGGAGUACUCGUGUCGAGCUUUCAACACAGGAGAUCAUAUGCAUCAUCAUAAGGUAGCCAACAUGAAUCCGUCUCCCGAUGAGGAUCGAGUCAACAAUGAAAGCCUCGAGGUAGGAGACCUCGUCUCAAUGUCCUCCACGUGGCAAGAGAAUCGAACAAAUCAUAUGGUGAAGGACUCGGCUAGUCACUGUCAAGCUAUGAGCCGAUGGUUUGCCCAUCCCCUGAGGAUCGGCAAGUCUGCACAACCUCUGAACAACCUCUCUAGGCUCAAAUCCCGGCACAGUGGGCCACGCCUUGGCCUCAUAAACAAAGAGUCCAAUCGAAGAAAUGUCGAGAAUGCGGCAGAUGCUCUCGGGACUCAAACGGAUCUCAACGCCUCUCAUAGUGGAUAAUACGGGUCCUCCUAGCCUGUAGGUCGCCCGAGAAUAGAAAGCCCGCACCAGAGUCGGGAAGACCGGCUCAGAGAUCGUCACUACGGGUAGCCAUCCCAUCCGUCCGAACAACCCCUCAAAGCCAAAGUGCUGAAGUUGGGAGAAAUUGACACUUCUCCGUGGGGCGACUUUCCCUGAGCAAAUUUUUGCUUGUAGCGCUGAUAGUCCUCAUUCGAACUGAAGAGUGUCGUGUCAAACCUCGCCUUUCGACGAGCCUCCGUCUGCUCAAGCUGAGAUGGCUCAACAGGGUGCUUGCCCUGAGCCUUGGAAGUGCCCGUCUCUCUCCGUGGUGCCAUCAAUGAAGCGAAAGAAGUGAAGAAGGAGUUCAAACAGAGAAUGAAAGCAGAGAGGAAGAUGCAACCACAAACCCGAAACCUUAGACACCUGGAGAUGGAUCUGAACAACCUUGAGAAGCGCGGUGCAGAGAUGAGACACCCUCAAUAGGUGAAACCCUAGGUUUCAAACCAAAACCCUAGCCCAAAUCCGUCCAGAGAUGAAACCCUAGCCUCAAAAUCGUGUAAAAAAUCACUCCAAAACCUAAAAUCGGUCCAAGGAAUAGCCCAAACUGGUCUCUGAAGGCGGGAAGAUGAAGAGUCUUCAAGGAACGGUGGAGAACAGUGGAAAAAACUGACGCGCGAGGGCCUUUUAAAUUCCCAACCCCGACGAACCGGUCGACCGAUUCCCAAACCGGUCGACCGCCUGAUCAACAGUCAACGGUCAUAUUUUCCAAAUUUUCUUGCAUUUGCUUGUCUCGUGAUCCUCCCCCUGCCUUUUUCAGUUGAAAUCCCCAAUUUUUGAUGUUCAAUGCCAAGAGAAUUUUGAAUUUUGGUCAAAAAUUGACCUAUUUCCUAAGGAAUUGCUAUAUGAUGCGUAUGAGAUGACAUUUAUGCAAUCAUAAUGCAUUUCCAACAAGAAUUCAUUAUACAAACAUCAGAUCAAAGAGAAAUAACCCCUAGUUGUCUUCUAAUAUCGGAAAAUUGUUCUUCACUUAGAGGUUUUGUAAAAAUAUCAGCAAGUUGAUCUUUUGCGUUUACAAAUUCAAGUGUAAUGUCACCCUUUUGUGCAUGAUCUCUAAGAAAAUGGUGUCUAAUUUCUAUAUGCUUGGUCCUAGAGUGUUGCACGGGAUUUUUUGAAAUAUUUAUGGCACUAGUGUUAUCACAUUUGAUAGGAACAUGCUCAAAAGACAAGUUAAAAUCACUAAGUGUUUGUUUUAUCCAAAGGAUUUGUGCACAACACAAACUAGCUGCUAUGUAUUCGGCUUCCGCCGUUGACAAAGCUACCAAAUUUUGCUUCUUACUAUGCCAUGAGACAAGUGAGUGUCCUAGGAAAUGACAAGUGCCACUAGUGCUCUUUCUUUCAACUCUACAACCGGCAAAAUCGGCAUCCAAGAAACUAAUCAAUUCAAAGUUAUCACCCUUAGGAUACCACAAACCAAUAUUCAUUGUCCCUUUCAAAUAUCUAAGAAUUCUUUUAACGACACUUAAGUGAGAUUCUUUAGGACAAGAUUGAAAUCUAGCACACAAGCAUACACUAUACAUGAUAUCGAGUCUACUAGCGGUCAAAUAAAGCAAGGAUCCUAUCAUGCCUCUAUACAUAGUUGAGUCAAUAGAUUUACCUUUUUCAUCCAUGUCAAGCUUGAUGGAUGAGCUCAUUGGAGUUUUCAUCACCUUGGCUUCUUCCAUGUUGAACCUCUUGAGAAGAUCCUUUAUAUACUUUGCUUGAUUGAUGAAGGUUCCUUCCUUUAGUUGCUUGAUUUGAAGUCCAAGGAAGAAAUUGAGUUCUCCCAUCAUGCUCAUUUCAAACUCACUAUGCAUACACUUACAGAAAUCAUCACAAAGAGAGUCAUUAGUAGCUCCAAAAAUAAUAUCAUCAACAUAUAUUUGAACUAGGAGCAUAUCCUUUUCUUUGGUUUUUAUGAAAAGAGUUGUGUCAUUUUUCCCAUUUUAAAACCCUUUUUCAAAAGAAAUUUACUUAGUCUUUCAUACCAAGCUCUAGGUGCUUGUUUCAAACCAUAAAGUGCCUUUUUAAAUUUAAAAACAUGGUUUGGAAAGUUAAAGCUUUGAAAAUCGGGUGGUUGUUCAACAUAUACUUCCUCAUUUAUGAAGCCAUUUAGAAAAGCACUUUUCACAUCCAUUUGAUAUAGAAUAAAGUCUUUGAAGCAUGCAAAAGCAAGCAACAUUCUAAUUGCUUCCAAUCUAGCUACGGGGGCAAAAGUCUCUUCAUAGUCUAUUCCUUCUUCUUGAUUAUACCCUUGGGCUACCAAUCUUGCCUUAUUUCUUACUAUGAUGCCAUUUUCAUCCAUUUUGUUUCUAAAGACCCAUUUGGUUUCAAUAACACUUUGAUUUGAAGGUCUUGGUACUAGUUCCCAUACUUCACUUCUUUCAAAUUGAUUUAAUUCUUCUUGCAUAGCAAUCAUCCAAUUUUCAUCAACUAUAGCAUCUUUUAUGUUUUUAGGUUCAAUUUGAGAGAUGAAUGCAAGAUUAUUACAAAUAUUUCUAAGGGAUAAUCUAGUUCUUACCCCACUCGAUGGAUUACCAAUGACUUGAUCUUGUGGAUGGUUGAUAACAAACUUCCAAUCUUUUGGAAGGUCUUGGCUUGAUUCACCUUGCACUUGUUGAGGAGGAGGUAGUGCCAAAGGUGAUUCUUCUUUCUUGGGAUCCUUUCCACUUUCUUCUUGUUGUCUUUUGUCUUCAAUUUGCAAUUUUCCCAUGGAGGUCUCCAAUCCUAAAUCAUCAUCAAAACUUUCUCUUUCUUGAAGAGAAUUGUUAGAUUCAUAAAAAUGACAUGGAUGGACUCUUCUACAACCAUGGUUCUUUUGUUGAAAACUCUAAAAGCUUUACUUGAAGUUGAGUAGCCAAGAAAAAUUCCAACAUCGGAUUUUGCAUCAAAUUUUCCAAGAUUAUCUUUGGUGUUUAAUAUAAAACAUUUGCACCCAAAGACUUUGAAAUAGCUAAUGUUGGGUUUCUUGUUUUUCCAAAGCUCAUAGGGAGUUUUCUUAAGAAUGGGCCUCAACAAUAUUCUAUUUAAAACAUAGCAAGAAGUGUUUACCGCUUCGGCCCAAAAAUACUUUGGCAAAUUGUUUUCAUUUAGCAUGGUUCUAGCCAUUUCUUGAAGAGUUCUAUUUUUCCUUUCAACUACCCCAUUUUGUUGAGGAGUUCUAGGAGCCGAAAAAUUGUGAUUGAUACCAUGCUUAUUGUAAUAUUCCUCAAAGUCAAAAUUCUCAAAUUCUCUCCCAUGAUCACUUCUAAUGCAAGUGAUUGUAAAGCCUUUUUCAUUUUGAACUUUGUUACAAAAUUUUUAAAACUCAUAAAAAGCUUCACUCUUUUGGCUUAAAAACAAGACCCAUGUGUAUCUAGAGAAAUCAUCUACAAUGACAUAAGCAUAAGAUUUUCCUCCUAUACUAGGUGUCCUAGAAGGACCAAAUAAAUCCAUGUGUAGCAAUUCAAGAGGUCUAGAUGUUGAAAUGAAAUUUUUGUUUUUAAAAGAGUUUUUUAUUUGUUUUCCCAUUUGACAAGCUUCACAAACUUUGUCUUUUUGAAAAUUAAUUUUGGGAAGGCCUCUAACGAGUUCAUCUUUGUUGAGUUGGGAAAUAAGGUCCAUGUUAGCAUGUCCCAACCUCCUAUGCCACAACCAACUUUGAUCAUGCAUGCUUGAAAAACAUCUAUCAUGGCCAUCAUAUUUUGAAAUAUUUAUAGCAUAUACAUUUUCACAUCUAUAGCCCGUGAAGAUGGUUUUGUCAUUUUGAAUAUCCUUGAUGAUACAAUGAGAUGCUUCAAAAAUUAAUUUAAAACCUUUGUCACAAAGUUGACUAAUGCUCAAAAGAUUGUGUUUUAAACCAUCUACUAAUAAAACACUUUCAAUAAGGGAGGAUGUACCAUUACCUAUGUUACCUUGACCAAUGAUUCUUCCUUUUGCAUUGUCUCCAAAGGUGACAUAUCCUCCUUUUCUCUUUGUAAGGAAGGCAAACUUGGAUUCAUCCCCGGUCAUGUGUCUUGAGCACCCACUAUCCAAGAACCACUUAUCCUCCUUUGAGCCCUACAAAAUAGAAUUCAAGUUGGUUUAGGUACCUAUGUCUUUUUGGGUCCUUGAGGGUUAGUGACUUUGGAUUUUUCAAUCCAAACCUUUUUAACCUUAGCAUUUGAAUUCUUUUGAGCACCAUUUCUUAAAGGACAUGUACUACUAAUGUGCUCUCCUCUUCCACAAAAAGUUACAAAUAGUGGAAGGACAUUCACUUGAAGAUUCUUUUACAAAAUAUUUUUUUUAAAAANNNNNNNNNNNNNNNNNNNNNNNNNNNNNNNNNNNNNNNNNNNNNNNNNNNNNNNNNNNNNNNNNNNNNNNNNNNNNNNNNNNNNNNNNNNNNNNNNNNNUUUCCUUUCAACUACCCCAUUUUGUUGAGGAGUUUUAGGAGCCGAAAAAUUGUGAUUGAUACCAUGCUUAUUGCAAUAUUCCUCAAAGUCAAAAUUCUCAAAUUCUCUCCCAUGAUCACUUCUAAUGCAAGUGAUUGUAAAGCCUUUUUCAUUUUGAACCUUGUUACAAAAUUUUGAAAACUCAUAAAAAGCUUCACUCUUUUGACUUAAAAACAAGACCCAUGUGUAUCUAGAGAAAUCAUCCACAAUGACAUAAGCAUAAGAUUUUCCUCCUAGACUAGGUGUCCUAGAAGGACCAAAUAAAUCCCUGUGUAGCAAUUCAAGAGGUCUAGAUGUUGAAAUGAAAUUUUUGUUUUUAAAAGAGUUUUUGAUUUGCUUUCCCAUUUGACAAGCUUCACAAACUUUGUCUUUUUGAAAAUUAAUUUUGGGAAGGCCUCUAAUGAGUUCAUCUUUGUUGAGUUGGGAAAUGAGGUCCAUGUUAGCAUGUCCCAACCUCCUAUGCCACAACCAACUUUGAUCAUGCAUGCUUGAAAAACAUCUAUCAUGGCCAUCAUAUUUUGAAAUAUUUAUAGCAUAUACAUUUUCACAUCUAUGGUCCAUGAAGAUGGUUUUGUCAUUUUGAAUAUCCUUGAUGAUACAAUGAGAUGCUUAAAAAAUUACUUUAAAACCUUUGUCACAAAGUUGACUAAUGCUCAAAAGAUUGUGUUUUAAACCAUCUACUAAUAAAACACUUUCAAUAAGGGAGGAUGUACCAUUACCUAUGUUACCUUGACCAAUGAUUCUUCCUUUUGCAUUGUCUCCAAAGGUCACAUAUCCUCCUUUUCUCUUUGUAAGGAAGGCAAACUUGGAUUCAUCCCCGGUCAUGUGUCUUAAGCACCCACUAUCCAAGAACCACUUAUCCUCCUUUGAGCCCUACAAAAUAGAAUUCAAGUUGGUUUAGGUACCCAUGUCUUUUUGGGUCCUUGAGGGUUAGUGACUUUGGAUUUUUCAAUCCAAAUCUUUUUAACCUUAGCAUUUGAAUUCUUUUGAGCACCAUUUCUUAAGGGACAUGUACUACUAAUGUGUCCUCCUAUUCCACAAAAGUUACAAAUAGUGGAAGGACAUUCACUUGAGGAUUCUUUUACAAAACAGUUUUUAAAAUACUUUUGGUUCUUUGAAGAUUUGAAUCCUAGUCCUUGUUUGUCAAAAACACAUUUUUGGCUUGCUAAGAUCAUUUCAAAGGACUUUUGUCCACAAGAGAAAAUUGAAAGAGAGGAGGUCAACCAUUCAUUUUUCUUUUUCAAAAUUUCAUUUUCAUUUCUUAAAAUCUCAUUCUCUUUUUCAAGAUGAGUUUUAGAAAUUUCAUCAAUUGAAAACUUUUCUUUCACUUCCUCAAGUUCUUUUUCAAGUUCUUGAAUUCUCUUUUUAAGAGAAUUACUUUUCAAACUAAGUUUUUCAAAAUCCUCAUAUAGUUCUUCAAAAAUAACAUGCAUAUCUUCAUCACUAGAGUUAGAGUUUACCUCAUCAAGAUCAUCUAUUGCCAUGAAGCACAUGUUUGCCACUUCUUUCUCCUUUUCUUCCUCGGAAGAUUCUUCACUCUCACUCCAAGUGGCCAUCAUUGCCUUUUUCAUUCUUCUCUUGGCUUCAAUUUUGUAGAGAGGACAAUCAUAUUUGAUGUGUCCCGACUUUUUGCAUUUGAAGUAUAUCAAAUCUCCUUUCUCUUCCCAUUUUUCCUUAUCACCAUGUGAUGAGGAUUCCCUUCUUGAGGGAUUUCUUCUAGAGGUAAACUUUUUCCCUCUAAACCUUUCACCUCUCAUGUACUUGUUGAGCUUUCUUGUGAUGAGAGCUAAAUCAUCAUCUUCUUCACUUGGGUUUUCUUCUUCAACAUCUUCUUCUUCCUUGGUUGUAGCUUUGAGAGCUAUGCUUUUCUUCUUUUUGUCUUCACUCUCUUAUAGUUGCUUUGUCAAACUGAUUUCAUAAGUCAUUAAUGACCCUAAGAGUUCUUCCAUAGGUAGCUUGGUCAAAUCUUUAGCUUCUUGAAUAGUGGUGACCUUUGUAUGCCACUUUGAGGGGAGAGACCUCAAUGUCUUCAUCACCUUUUCGGAUUCAUUUAUGACCCUUCCCAAUGCUUCAAGGCCAUUGACAAUUUCAGUGAACCUAGUGAUCAUCUCAACAAUAGAUUUAGUUUCUUUCAUUGAAAACAAUUCAUAGUUAUGGACAAGUAUAUUAAUUUUUUACUCUUUCACUUGAUUAGUUCCUUCAUGAGUUAUUUCAAGCAAUCUCCAAAUUUCCUUAGCAGAUUUACAUUGGCAUAUUCUAUUAUAUUCAUUCCUAUCCAUAACACAUUGCAAAGUAAAAACGACUUUAGCAUUUAAUUGAAAAUUUCUUCUAUCAAGCUCAUUCCAUUCUUGCUUGGGUUUUGGAACCAAAACUCCAUCAACUAAUUUAGUGGGAAGAGUUGGGCCAUCUUCAAUGACAUCUCAUACAUCUAAAUCAGUUGAUUGUAAGUACCAAGUCAUUCUAGCUUUCCAAUAGGGAUAGUCGGUUCCCGUAAAGAAUGGAGCUCUAUAUUUUGAACAAUUUUCAGUUUGAGAUGAGCUUGAUGGAAUAGCCAUUUUCCUCUUAGACGAUUAAGUCUUAAGCAAGAGGUCUAGCUCUAAUUGAUAAAACAAAGGCUAUGAAUAAUUAAGGAAAAUACCCAAAAGGGGGAGGGGAGGUGAAUUGGGUUUUUCAAAAUCUUUUUCCACACAAUAAUAUAUGCACAAAAUAAAUAAAGGAAAGAGAUAAAGUUAGAGAAUUCAAACUCGGGUUUAUAGUGGUUCGACACUCCCUUGCCUAUGUCCACUCUCCUCAAUCUCCUAACCGAGUGAGGGUUCCACUAACUUGAAUCUUCAAUCAAGCUUUCAAUCUUCUUACACUUGGAUUCCUGCUCCAAUGGGCUCUUACACAAUCUCUUCAAGAUUUGAACCACUUGAAGGCUUUCACACUCAGUUUACACAAAGAUGAAACUCUCAACCUAGCUUAAGGAUGGCUCAAG
Molecule: long non-coding RNA, 9824 nt
Filed under: Vitis vinifera (wine grape)
Lineage: Eukaryota; Viridiplantae; Streptophyta; Magnoliopsida; Vitales; Vitaceae
Description: long non-coding RNA (VVIN_LNC006575)
Source: RNAcentral